UGCCGCCCUGAAGGGCGUAUGGUGGAUGCCUUGGCAGACAGUACCGAUGAAGGACGUUUGAGGAUGCGAUAAGCCUCGGGGAGCCUCCAACAUGGCUUCGAUCCGAGGAUUUCCGAAUGGGGCAACCCGCCGGCCGUCAUGGGCCGGCACGGAACCUUGUUGUUCCGGGGGUACGCAGGGAAGUGAAACAUCUCAGUACCUGCAGGAAGGGAUACUCCGUGAGUAGUGGCGAGCGAAAGCGGAUCAGACCAAACCAUGGGCGCGUGAUACCCGUCGGGGGUUGCGUUCGUGGUGUUGAGGGAGCGUGUGUCCCGGUUCCGACGGACCGGGCGGGAGUCAUAAAACGGCUUGCCAGGGGAACAGGCUUGAAGGCCUGGCCGCAGAGGGUGCCAGCCCCGUACCUGGAAGCUUGCCGUCUUCCGAUCAUGUGUCCCAAGUAGCGCGGGCCUCGUGGAAUCCCGUGUGAAUCGGCCCCGACCGUGGGGUAAGUCUAAGCAUACCUGUCUGACCGAUAGCGUACCAGUACCGUGAGGGAAAGGUGAAAAGCACCCCGGGAGGGGAGUGAAAGAGUUCCUGAAACCGUGCGCCUACAAUCCGUCGGAGCCUCCCUUGUGGGGUGACGGCGUGCCUAUCGAAAAAUGAGUCUGCGAGUCAGUGGUGCGUGGCGAGGCUAACCCGUGGUGGGGGAGCCGUAGCGAAGGCGAGUCUCAAAAGGCGUUUUGAGUCGCGCGCCCUGGACCCGAAGCGGGAUGAUCUAGCCCUGGGCAGGUUGAAGCGCGGGUAAGACCGCGUGGAGGACCGAACCCACCUGGGUUGAAAACCGGGGGGAUGACCUGGGGCUAGGGGUGAAAGGCCAAUCAAAUUCCGUGAUAGCUGGUUCUCUCCGAAAUGCAUUUAGGUGCAGCGUCGGUUGAUUGCAUCGCGGGGGUAGAGCUACUGGAUGCUUGCGGGCCCGUGUCGGGUACCAAUAGCAGCCAAACUCCGAAUACCGUGGAUGUGUAUUCCGGCAGUGAGUCGGCGGGGGAUAAGCUCCGUCGUCGAGAGGGAGACAGCCCAGAUCGUCGUCUAAGGUCCCGAAGCGUGUGCUAAGUGGGAAAGGAUGUGGAGUCGCAUAGACAGCCAGGAGGUUGGCUCAGAAGCAGCCAUCCUUGAAAGAGUGCGUAACAGCUCACUGGUCUAGUGGUUCCGCGCCGACAAUGUAGCGGGGCUCAAGCACACCACCGAAGACGCGGCAACGGUCGUAUGGCCGUUGGGUAGGAGAGCGUCCCGCGUGGGGCGAAGCGGCCGGGGAACCGUGCCGUGGACCGCGCGGGAGUGAGAAUGCAGACAUGAGUAGCGAGAGACGGGUGAGGAUCCCGUCCGCUGGAUGACCAAGGGUUCCGGGGCCACGUUCGUCGUCCCCGGGUGAGUCGGGUCCUAAGGCGAGGCCGACAGGCGUAGUCGAAUGGAUGAACGGGUGGAUAUUCCCGUACCGGCGGCGUACCGUAAGAGCCGAACGGAUGAGUACUAACCUCCGGUCGCGUGGCGUCGUUCCCUUCGGGGUUCGGGGUCCGCGGUCGUUGGGAGCGUAGUCCUGGUAGGCUAGCGCACAGGGGUGACACGGAAUGGGAGCCGGCCGCGGAGGUGGUUUUCCGUGGUCAAGCACGCAGCCCGUCCCAUAGGCAAAUCCGUGGGACGCAUAGGGUGAGGUGUGAUGAUGGGCGUCCUUUGGACGCGAUAUCCGGUGGUCCAGGCCGUCGAGAAAAGCCUCGGCGCGAGGGGCGUCGCCGCCCGUACCCCAAACCGACACUGGUGGUCAGGUAGAGAAUACCAAGGCGAUCGAGCGAAUCCUGGUCAAGGAACUCGGCAAAUCACUCCCGUGCCUUCGGUAUAAGGGAGACCCCCGGGCGUGAAGAGGCUUGCCCUCGGAGCGUUGGGGGGUGGCACAGACCAGGGGGUAGCGACUGUUUACCAAAAACACAGGUGCAUGCGAAGGCGCAAGCCGCUGUAUAUGCACUGACGCCUGCCCGGUGCCGGAAGGUUAAGAGGAUCCGUCAGCCCCUUUUGGGGUGAAGCGGUGAAUUCAAGCCCCGGUAAACGGCGGUGGUAACUAUAACCAUCCUAAGGUAGCGAAAUUCCUUGUCGGGUAAGUUCCGACCUGCACGAAUGGCGUAACGACUUCCCCACUGUCUCGACCAGGAGCUCGGCGAAAUUGCAGUACGAGUAAAGAUGCUCGUUAAGCGCAGAAGGACGAAAAGACCCCGGGACCUUUACUAUACCUUGGUAUUGGCGUUAGGCGCGGAUUGUGUAGCAUAGGCGGGAGGCUUCGAAGC
RNAcentral lists this ribosomal RNA (2312 nucleotides) under Bifidobacterium pseudocatenulatum. RNAcentral describes it as "bacterial LSU rRNA". It matches the Rfam family "Bacterial large subunit ribosomal RNA", at positions 1 to 2163 of the family's 2925-position model. Lineage: Bacteria; Bacillati; Actinomycetota; Actinomycetes; Bifidobacteriales; Bifidobacteriaceae. The record is from RNAcentral.